GGGAUAAAUAAGUCUUAUGGUAUUCAAUUAAGACUUUUCAAUAAUCUAAACGAGUCUUGUGGUAUUCCAUUAAGACUAUUAUGAUUUUUUUAAAAGAGUGUCAAAAUCUUGUGGUAUUCAAUCAAGCCUUUAAACAAGUAACAAAAAGUCUUAUGGUAUUCAAAAACUUGUUAAUUUCGAAGGAUUUUUUCAAAUGCGAAAUUGUGUGAGACUUUUUAGUGAGAUGUAUCCCUAUCUCAAAUCCCACCCUAACCCAUGAGACUUUUUUUUUUUUUUUUUUUUCACGUGAGAUUGUUUUUUGUGCUCAUCCACUUCGCCUUCUCUCAAAGCCAACUUCAACACCCAAAGCUUCACCGCCACCAGCCAUCUCUGCAACUCUACCUGCAAACCCACUUCACCUUCUCUACUAUACAUGCAAACCCACUUCACCUUCUCUGCAUAUAGCCAUGAUUCAUGUUGUUUACUCAUAGGAGGUUUGGGAGAAUUUCAAGGGAAAUAAUUUUUCGUCUUUUCUUUCCUUUUUCCUUUUUUUCCUGGGAAAUAGUUUACAGUUUAGCCAAAUCAUAUUGUUACUCUAUACAUGUCAAAUUUCUUUAUGCAUUUUUUUUUUUUUGGGAGCUUUGAGAUUCAAUGAAACUAUCCAUUAGACGAACAAGACUAGAAAUUCACACACAAGAUGAUCAACAAGAAUACUUUUUUUUUUUUUUUGUUCUUGUUGCCUCGGUCAACAUGGAUAGAAGAGAAAAAGAAGGUGGUAGGGGAUAGAAGAGAAAAUACUACCACCGAAAAAAACAUAGGGCAGAAACUCCACUUGCAUAGAACCACAUGAUAUCUCAUAACAGUAACAGUUCAUAAGGUAACACAAGCAAGUUCCUUUUAUACUAUUUGACUGGAGUUACCAACUGUGCAGCAGGCCAGCGUUAAGAUCGUAAAACCAGCAGCCUCCCCUGUUCUGGGUUCACUAUAUUUGUCGGGCUAAAUAUUUAAAAAAGUUUCAAAUUUUGGUUUGGGCUAUGGCCCUCUUUUGUCAGACCCAUAUAUAAAUCCUGUAAUAUAAAUCUAUGUGGUCCUUUCAAAUUUUAUAAAAUCUUAUGAUAUAAUCUUUAAAAUCCAAAAGUUAAAAAUCUUGAAUAUACAAAAUUAUCAAUAAAAUCUUAUAAGUCAUUACAUUCUGAUUAAAUCCGCUGAAUUUUUUAAAAUAAUUUUUUAAAAUCUCAAGUGAAUACACAGGGCUGCCUUGUAGAUGAUUGGGACUGCUUUUGAGCUUCCGUUUUCUCCUGAGAGCCAGUUCGAGGCUUCGAGCUCUUUGGAACUGAAAAUCAAAAGGAAACGACUCGUAAGAAAAACGUUUCAAAACGGAAAUUUUCUCUUACUAGAAAAUUCGACAUAUCCUGCUGUUGUUAGAUUGUAAAUCUAAACCACUAACCAGUACAUAUAUAUAUAUAUAUAUAUAUGUGAUGCAAGCAUAUUAUAGGAUAAUUUAUAACAGCAUACCUUGUGCUGCAAAUAAAGGAGGGUCGCGUCACAUUGACUAACAACCCCUGAGAUUGAUGGUGAAGGAAGAGGCAUCUUUGGUAGAAGUAUAGCCAUGAGCUGCAGGAUCUCCACCCAUGUAAGUAAAGAGGAAAUCCUGCCUAUGACUCAUAUCUCCGUACUGGACAACGUGAGUUUUAAUUGUUCUUCUUCAAACCUGUAAUUAGUUAGUAAUGUUGUCUUGUUAGAUUUACAUGGUUAGGUAGAUGCUCAUGAGUUUUAAACAUCCAUACGAAAUUCAAAUUCACCGUCUCGCAUGAGAACAUCUUCUAAUCAAUCUAUACUCUAACAAAAAAAAUAAAAACUAAAAAUGAAAAAAUAAAAUGGUUACUAAACGACCCUUAAGUAUCGAUGGUUACAAAAGUGUUGAAUUGAUGAGUUAAAAUGGAAGCCGAAAUGUGUCCCUUGUGACACAUUGGAGUGGCUUGAGGUUAGUGAGUCACUUGUUUUCUCCCAUCCAUAAUAUUUGUUGUGAUUUGAAUAUUGAUAUAAUGCUGCAUCGAGCAUAUGGUGUGGUCUAGUCUACCAAACGUGGGCAAAAUUUGAGAGGCUUCUCUUUAUAGAGCAUACUCAUUUGGCUCAAAGACAAACUAACCUAAUUAGUUUUGUCUACAACUUUGGAUGUACUAACUAGGGUGUACAAAGAUCUAAUCCAAUCUAAUCUUCACAAAUUGACCGAUUCAAUUCAAUUCAAUUUUAAUUGGUUUUGAUGAUUUAAUGGAUUGGAUUGGAUCCCUAAUUUCUAAAACUGACAUAAUUGGAUUGUGGAUUUGCUUGUGAGAAUCCAAUCUAAUCUAGUUAGUUUCAUGUUUAUUUUGCUCAUGUAGGUAUUUGUAAUUAAAAAAGUUAUGAAAAACAAGUUGGUCCACUGCAUCCUCGCCUGGAAACAAUGGCUGUAGAAGACUUUGGAUUGUUUUGAUCAGUUAAAAAGUAAAUAUUCUUUAACCCAAGUUAACUUAGGCCAACAAUAAGCCAAAGCAGUCGAUAACCUGGGCCAGAAGAAGCUCAGCAAGGACACAACCAGCUGCCCAGACACCAAUGGGUGUUGAAUAUUCUUUGCACCAAAGAUUAGUUCGGGAGCCUGAUAGCCACGAGAACAUAUGUUUGAUUUACACUUGCAUUCAAUCAUGUCAUGAAGACAAACACACCAGAACUUUUUCACUUCCGAAAUCACAAAGCUUCACCUGGUGGUUGAGGGGAUCAACCUGCCAAGUAUUUAUAAAACCUCCUCCCAUCAAGCUCGGGCCAGAUUACCAGUAAUUGCCACAAGAGCAUUCACCAUUCCUAAAAUGAUGAAACCUCUUUGCAUCCCUCACAAUUAUGUCUCUUCCAACCACUCUUGACAUAAACUUAAUUGCAGUGUGGCAAUCCCCACAACUCCUAAGAUUCUUAAAAACUCUGAUUGUGGCUCCGAGAGGAAGCUUCAUGAGCCCAAAUGCAACUGCAAGCUUCUCACUGUGAGUAGACAAGGAAUACUCCUUAUGCUCAGACUCCAUAUCAUGCAACACAAACUUUGUGUCAGGGAGAUAUCCUAACUUCCUCAUUUCAAGUCCUAGUUGCUCAAGAUAUUUGUACACAGCUUGGACCUCAGGGUGCUCAGUAUCACCAACUAAGAAGACGUGGACCAUGUUUUCAACGUCAAUCCAACUACAACCAGGCUCUUUCUUAACCCCUCGAUCUCUCAUUAGUUUCCGCACCUUAGCCACAUCAUCCCAACGGCCUAUAGCGGCAUACAGGUUUGACAAAAGUAUGUAAGUUCCAUCAUGUUGUGGCACCAACUCAAAGAGUCGUUCUGCUGCUUGAAUUCCUAAAUCCAUAUUCCCAUGAGUCCGACAACCAGCAAGAAGAGCCUCCCAAAUUGGUCCACCUGGCUCAAAAGGCAUCGAUUCAAUCAAGCCCUUGGCUUCUGUGAACUCCCCACAUCGACACAACAGAUCAAUCAUGCGAGCAUAAUGGCCUUCAUCAGGGCUAAUACCAUAACAGACACGCAUUGAACUAAAAUAAUGGCGCCCUUCCUUGACUAAACCAGCAUGACUACAAGCUGAUAGAAUGAUGAGGAAAGUUAUUCUAUCUGGUAGUAUAUCUGCCUUCAACAUUUGUUCAAAAAGGUCUAUUGCUUGAACACCAUGUCCAUGUUGUGCCAGAGCUGCAAUCAUAGCAUUCCAAGACACUGAAUCAAUACAAGGCAUGGUAAGAAACACAGAGUUUGCAUCCUUGAAAACUCCGCAUCUUGCAUACAUUGUGAUGAGUGCAUUUGCAGCUGAAAGGCUUGAAUCAAAACCCAAGCUAAUUAGUUGAGCAUGGAGCUGGCGUCCAUGCUCCAAUGCUCCGAGCGCAGCACAAGAUGUAAUUGCUCCAGAAAAUGCAUAAUCACACGGCUCAAAACCUUCUGAUCGCAUUUGGUUGAAUAGCGUCAUCGCUUCUUCUCCUAAUCCAUUUUGAGCUAAACCAGAUAUCAUCACAGUCCAUGUCAGAAUGCUCCUCUCUGGCAUUUCCUUAAAAAAGGAUUUUGCUUCCUGGAUGCGCCCUGCACUAACAUACCCUGAAAGGAUUGCAUUCCAAGAAACAAGAUCUUUAACAGGCAUAUUAUUAAAAAUAUACCGUGCUUCAUCAAGUUUACCACAUUUGUAAUAUAGUGUAAGCAAUGUAUUGUUCACAGAUAAUGAAAAAUCCACAGUAGGCUUCGCUUCGGUUCUAAGUAUGUAAGCAUGCACCUGCUUCCCAAGCUGAAAUUGUCCAUUAUUAGCGCAAGUACUAAUAACACUAGUGUAUGUAAAUUCAUCCUGAUGAAUCCCCAGUAACCGCAUUUUCCUAAACAAAAGCAAUGCUUCUUGAAAAGAAUUGUGGUGAGCAUAACCCGAAAUCAUCGCAUUCCAUACAACUUCCAUCCUUUCAUCCAUCCCAUCUAGCAAUUCCCGAGCUGCAUGAAGGUCUUCAUUCCUUAUGUACCCAGUAAUCAUCGUUGUCCAUGAUAGUUCAUCUCUCUCAGGCAUCUCAUUAAACAAAUUCCUAGCUUCACCCAUCAAUGAUGAUGAUGAUACUAAUGGUGAAGAAGCACAUCUAACAUAAACAGAUAACAGCGCAUUCCACACCGAAGUGGCAAACCCUGUUCCUGACUUAACUACUGCACAAUGUAGUUGCUGGCACUGCUUUUCAGCAUCCACUAUCUGUGCCACACCACUUAGUACAGUCGUAUAUGUGAAAUCGUUAGGCCUAAAACCACCUUGCCUCAUCUCACAAAAUAGUCUAAUAGAGGCAUAGCCAUCAUUGUUACGAGAAUAGCCUGUGAUCAUCGCAUUGUAACAAACAGUGUCUCGCAUGCUCAAUGGAGUUUCAUUGAAUAUCUUCCGAGCCAGCGUUAGAUUCCCAAUGGCAGAGUACGCCGUAAUCAAGGUGGUUCUAGCAACAAUGUCUGGUUUGGGAAUUUGAUCGAACAGUUGGUGGGCAUAACUAAAAUUUGAAGAUUUACAGUAGACAUCAAUCAAGCGGUUAAGAAUAUGGUCACGUGGCUUGAACCCAGAAACUAUCAUGUGGGCAUGGGCCGUUCGAGCUAUAGAGUAUGAGACGGGGCUUUGAGGGCAGCACAGCUGCAGUUGGGCUAAGUAACGGUGAGCCACUGUAAAGAAGAUGAAGCGAGGCAGAGGGCAAAUGAUGGGAAAGCGGGCAAUAUUGAAAUGGGAUUCUCCUUUUUUUCUUUUUUUUUUUUGGGCACCCAAACAGAAUGGAUUCUCAGACGCAGGUAGGAAUUCCUACAUAUUUACCUUUAUUUGCCCCCAGAACAUUUUUUAUGUCUUUUUCUCUUUUUUGUCGUAAAUUGGUCCUUAAGAUCUUGAAGGCAUGCUUGAUAUGUUACGAAAAUAAUUAAGAGUAUUUACUUAUGCACUCAAGAUCUUAGGGUUAAUUUUCCCACCCCAAUAUCCUUGUAUUAAAAACAAAAACAAAAACAAAAGUGAAAAGGGAGAAGUAGUUUAGAGAAAAAAUAAGAGCUUAAAAACAAUUGAAGAGGUUGUUGUAGUCCAUCUCCUUCCAUCCAAAUGCACUUUGAAAAGUAGUCAAGGUGUUGGGGUGGACAACUUCACAACCAUUAAGACAUUUAGUUUUGAUUAAUAAAACAAAUAAAUCGGGCAUUUCAAGAAAACACUAAAAUAACAAUUAUUUAAUUAAAUAAUUAUAUGAUUUUUGAAUUGAAGUGAUUCUUUAUAGAGAUGAUAUUUAAGAGAAUAUCUAAAAAAUAAACGGUUUAGAUCAUUAUAAUACUCUACCUAUGUUCAAUCAAGAUAUCAUAUAAAUACAAUAUCUUAUGAUACAUAUAAUCUUAAUCUGAGUCAUAGUAAGUCAUUGUCAGCAAUGCAAGUCUCAAUGAGGUCACCAUGGUCAAUGUGGUUAAACCAUCUCCCAAAUCCGACCUUCACUUAAUGAUCCUGGUUUAAUAUAUAAUCAAAUCAAUGAGAUUCGAAGUAGGCUCAGAUACGUACAACUAAGACAUUGAUACAUUAAUUGACAGGACCCGAUUCAAAUUCUACUUUGGAAUCCGAGCCGAAUUCUGUGCGUGUCCGACACCUGGUGGUUGCCGGACACAAUUGACCAAACUGCCCUUCUAACAAAAAUUCUAUCAAAUUUAAGUACGACUUCCGCCGAAAAUUCGGCAGAAUCUCCCCUGUAAAUUGAACAUUUCCCAAAAAUUCCACCUAUAAAACAAGCAUAUAUGUUUAUAUAUAACCCAAUUGCCAGCAUGCAUUAGAUUAUAUUCAAGCAAUCAAGCAUCAUAUCAUUCUGGCCUCAGGCCUCAACAAAUUGAAAUAAAUCACUACGUUAAUAAAACUCAUCUCAACUUCCAGACAUCAAUUGUACAUUAGAAAUCUCAAACACUCCAACUCGUGGCUGCACCUUGUAACAUUAAGCUACCUACGUACCCUUACUAAGGGAUCAAGCCACACGUAGUUCUUUCCAAUACUCGUAUCAUCAUACCCACGAUCGCACGAUCGGAUAAUUACUGUAAACCUAGCCCUAUGGUUGUCAUUUCCAGAGUAUCCGGGACUCCGUUUUACAGUUCGUCGAAUCCUCUACGAUCCUGGAAUUACCUAAAUCAACAUAUACGAAAUUGACUAUGAUCCAACGGUUCAAAGGUAUCGAACCUGAAAAUCGGACAGUGGGCGAGAACCGUUCGGGGUUCAAACGUUGUCUGAAUUGAAAUCCGAAAGUACCUACAUGCUCGUGAGGACCAGGAGAUCAUUCUGAAACCCUAAAUUGGUCCAAAGCCUGGCCCACGCGUCGGCAGCGCUUGGGUGUCCCAAGCGAUACCGGCGGACGGAAAAUCUCAAAACCAAUGGCCACCCUUCCAGCUAUAGCUACUACUCGACGUGUGGAACACAUUAUUCAACUGCGGAAACGUCCAAUUCGGACGGCAAGUGGUCGGAAAUUCACUUGGAAAACCUGCCAAAACCUAAUUUACACAUCAAGUUAUCUAGGCUAGAAAUUGAUCAAAUCCUACCCAACCAUCAACUAGAGCUCGAGACGUAGAUGAGAAACCAUACCUCACUGGCCGGAGAUGGUGGCCGGAAACGGCCGAAAAAGACCAAGAAAGGCAGCUGAUUUUCGCACAGCAGUUCGGGCUCGUUUUUGGCUCAACUUUGGCUCGAUUUUCAAGUGGAUUCACUUGGAAUCAAGGCUGGAUAUGGAUAUUUAUGGAAAGAGGAGAGAGAGACGAAGAAAUUGCAAGUUGUGGCACUCGAUUUGGUGACUGGACGGAGGAGAAAUCGAAGUUUGAAAAUGGCUGGUCGUCCCCCACCCCCCCCAAAAUCGCGAAACAGCAGAAUCUGGGUUUAGAAAAAUCUGAACUUCGAAAUAUUUACGAUUGUGCCACUGAACUUCUUUUGACCGUAACUUUUUCGUUACAACUCCGAUUUGAGCCCACUAUGUGUCUACGGACUCAUCUCGACGUGCUCUACGCAACAGUAUAACUGAAAUUUCCAAAUUCAUUCCUGGUCAAAAGGUCAACUUUUUCUCUAAUAAAAUAUUCUAGGGGUAUAAUUGUCUUAUCCUAGAAUAAAUUAAUAAUUAAAAUUUAAUUAAGGAUCAGGUUGUUACAUUAAUGGGAUCCAAAAUUUGAAGGGCUUUGAUGAUGGCAUUACUAUUAAAAUUUACACCAAGCAGUAAUUUUAUGUUACUGCCAACCCCAUAAAUACCAACUUCAAAUACUGAGCAAGAAUGUUCUAUUAAAUUAUGAAGCUCAAACCUCCGCCCCAUUAAACAGCAGAGAUUUGAAAUUAUCCAGAAGAAGGCAGUAUUGAAGAAAUUAGAAAAAAUACAUAAAUCAACAAUAGCAAAAUAUAAUUCGAGACAAGACAGCGACAAACAGCAGAAACAACACCAUAAUUAAAAGAUAAACGACAAGCCGCACUACUAUUAUGCCCCUCGGGGCACCGGACUUUUACAGCCCCUACCCUAGCUAGAUUUGAAUAAACUUAUACAUAUGGUGUGGUCUAGUCUACCAAACGUGGGCAAAAUUUGAGAGGCUUCUCUUUAUAGAGAACAUAAUCAUUUUGGCUCAAAGACUAGCUAACCUAAUUAGUUUUGUCUACAACUUGGGAUGUACUAACUAGGGUGUACAAGAUCUAAUCCAAAUUAAACUUCACAAAUUGGCCGAUUCAAUUCAAUUCAAUUUUAAUUGGUUUUGAUGAUUUAAAGGAUGGGAUUGGAUCCCUAAUUUCUAAAACUGAUAUAAUUGGAUGGUGGAUUUGCUUGUGAUAAUCCAAUCUAAUCUAGUUAGUUUUAUGUUUAUUUUGUUCAUGUAGGUAUUUGUAAUUAAAAAAGUUAUGAACAUUUUAAGUCAUUUGAUGGAGUUAUGCUUUAAUAUAUUAUAGAAUCAAAACAAUUUUCUCUAACUUUUCAUUUAUAUUUUACAUUUACGUCUACUAAUAUAUUUGAUUAUAUUAAAUCUAACAAAAAAAUGUUUCAUAUUUCAUUAUUAUAUUUUUUUCAUUAUAAAAACCGAUCAUCCAAUCUAAUUCGAUUGGAUUUGAUUGGAAAAAUCACAAUCCAAUCUAUAUUAGGUUGGAUGCAGAUUGGCUAAGUUGUAUGGGUUUCGAACCAACGUACACCCCUAGUACUAUCCUUAAGAUGUCUCUCCAAGCAUAGUAGACUUUCUUUUGUGGACUUCAUUCGUGAGUACCUUGGAAUAUUGUGGCGUGGCCUAGAUUUGCCUUAGUAAACUUUAUUUGUGCUUACCCUUCGAGUUAUAUUGGGGUAUAAAAAAAUAAACUCCAAACUUACUAAUGAUAUGAUAAAUCAUUUCUUGGUAUUCUUUAAUUUUUUUGUUUUUUUGUUUUUAAAAAUAAGAAAGAUAAAAAAAAGUCUAUUUGUGUUCCAUAAAAAUAGGACCUUGUUUUGCUUUUAUUUUUUAUGUUAAUUUUUUAUGAAAAAGUAUGCAUUAUCCUUAUUUAAUCAAUACUUUCAAUUCUUACUAUUUUGAUUAACUAAGGGAAUAAUUUUUGGUCAAGGGACUUCUAACUUAAGUGGUUAAAAACAUUUACUCCUGUACUCGAGCUCCAAGGUUUAAUUCCCCACCCCCAUCCAAAUAUCGCUUGCAUAAAAAAUAAAAAUAAAGGACUUUUAUUUUUUGUAUUUCGAAUGUUUUACCAUUUUAUGCAUGCAUGUUCAAUUCCCCCCACCCGUAAUUUCCCAAUAUCGCUUGUAUAAAAAAAAAUAAUAACUUUUUUGUUGUUGUUGGUAUUUUGAAUGUGGCAAACCAUUUCUUAACUAGCCAGGAGACAUCAAAUAAUUUUAGUCAAAUAUUGGUUCCCUCUUCCUCUAAAUAAUUCAAUCUCAUUAAAAUAAAAAUAAAAGUAUUCAAAUGUCCAAACUAAAAAGAGUUAACACUAACACUUUUUGAGAUUUAUUUACAAAUUUAUGGGAUUUCACCGACACUCUCUGAGGUUUCAAAUUGAUUUUUUCUUCUUUCCUUUUUCUGGGUAUUAUGGAGACCCCAAAAAGUCUAAAAGAACAGAUAAAAGGGCAUAUCCACCAAAGCUAAUUCAAAUUUUGGUUAAAUUUGAUUUCAAGUGACACAAAAAAUAUUUAUUAGUUGGGUCACUAUAAUUGAAUGCGACUCUAUCAAUAUUUUUUAGUUGAGUUAUUUAUAAAAUUCUUUGAGAUUUCAGAAAUUAUACUAACAACUCUUAAUGUUUCAAAAUAAUUUCACAAAACCGAUUUCAUUAGUUUUCCACUUAAAAAAUUGUUGAUAUAAAAAUAAAAAAAUUUCUCCAAGUGUGUCAGUGUUCUUUUGGGACCUUUUGCAAAUGAUCCACUAGUUUAGUGGUUUGGAGUAAUUGCUUAUCCAUAAAAGAUUUUGAGUUUGAAUUCUAGUAUUCGUGUAGUGUGUUUAAGUUUAGUAUACUAUUGCUCAUUUUAAUAAAAAAAAAAGGUCACAAAUUUAAAUAAAAACAAAGUAAAAAAAGGAUACUUAUUAGUGAGUGGGCUGCGAAGUGACGUGUGCUCAUUAAUGACUAUUAACAACAGAAGCAGACAAAAUAGAAAACAGAUAUAAUCCACAAAUUAAUCAAAUAAUUGUAGUAAAAAAGAGAGAGGGGAGAGAGAGAGAGAGAGAGUGACAAUACAAUUUACAAAGAAAGGAGGAGAUGCCAAAAGCAAGCGUCAGCACCUAUAAAGCGUAAUUUAUUAAUUAUUAAUAAUAUUCUAGAAAAAGCGUCACGCACUUCAAGGUCGUUGCAACCAACAAAACAACGAAAAACCCAAAUCAUAAUCACUAUAUAUAUAUAUAUAUAUAUAUACACUUGGCUUCCUUCUCUCUCAAUCUUACCAUUUUAGUUUUAGAAACCAAAUAGCUUCCUUGUUGCUUGGUCUACCGAAUUCCAAUGGCGCUUUCCAGAAAACUUUUUCAGCACCGGAGCUCCGUAUCCUUCUUCGGAGCCCGAUCCAUGUCGUGGUGGAGGAGCGUGGAGCCAGCUCCAAAGGAUCCGAUUCUCGGCGUCACAGAGGCCUUCCUCGCCGAUCCAAGUCCCGACAAAAUCAAUGUUGGAGUUGUGAGUAUCUGCUCUGCCUUUGAUCUAACAUUACCUUCUGAAUCAUGAGCUUUAAGCUUUUGAAAAUAUUGUAUUCUUUUGGAUCAUCAUUUCUGUUUUAUUUUCCUUCUUCAUCCACCCGACGAGUUAGCUACACAGUAUGGAGUGGAAGUGUUCAGUUUUAUUUUAAUUAUGUUUUUCUUCUCUCUUCUUGUCCUGGAAAUUGAGUAAUUUUUUGGUAUGAAACCGGACCUGGAAAUGAAUAAAACAGUAACUUUCUCGGAAGCCAAACAGCAACCAAAUCAAGGGGAAAAGGAAAAGCUGAGAAUAAUUUUCUUUUUCUUUUUUUAAAAUUUUAAAAUGUCUCAUUUCUGUUUUUUUUAUAAAUAUUUGGUGCUUCGUUGGCGAGCUUUUGUUGGCUUCCAAAGGACAAAAAUGUUCUAAUUGAAUGUUUUUGUAGUAAUUUUUAUUCUGACGCAUUUUUUGUAGUACUUUAACAAUAGCUAAACAGUUAUGAAUAUGUGCUUGAUUUUUUUUUUUUAAUACAUAUUUAUUUUCGAAUUUAUGGAUUAAAGGGUGCGUACCGAGAUGAUAAGGGCAAGCCAGUUGUUCUCGAAUGCGUCAGAGAAGCAGAGCGGAGAAUUGCGGGAAACUUGAACAUGUAAGUGGGUAUAUUUUCUGAAGUUUAGAACCACUUUUGUUAUUAAUUGAUUGAUUGCUUUCCUUAUAUGCAUCAUCUCAUUUUAGAUUUUGCAUUUUUGUAAUGGGAGCUGUGACAUGUGGCUUUUUUUUCUUUUUUUGUUUUUGUCUUGGAGAAUGCUAAUAGUGUUUUACAACUUGCUACUUUUGCAGUGGUCCCUUUAAGUUAGCUUUUAUAUUGCCCAAUGCCCACUACGGCCACAAACAUAUCCUUGGUUCUUUUGUCACACCUACUCUGGAGUCAUGAUACUGCUCGUACGCUUGAGAAUAUUUUUCUUUUUCGCUAUUUGCAUUUGGAUAUAGAUUCUUAACUUUAUUCUGUCUUGAUCGUUCGAGUAGAUUUAUUUAUUUUUGGGGAGUGGUGGGGCUUUUAUAGUUUUGGGUAUUUGAUAUAGUGGAAAUUGGGCUAGCAAUUGGCAACUUUAGAACCAUAUUGUACUCUCCACGCUGGGACUUAUUGUCUUGAUAGCCAGGUCGUGGUGAAGGGUAAUCUUUAUCUGUUGUUGUAACCGUGACUCUGCAAUUUGAGUUUCCUAAUGUUGAGUUUGAUGCUUUAUAAUUGGAAUUGGAUUGAGUUUGUAGGAUGUUAGGAUUAUGUUAGCAGCAGUGAAGGUUUAUGUAUUCAUUUUCAGUUGUGAGAGAUGAAGGAAGAAUGAGUAGAUAGAUUCCUUCAAUCUCUCUUGUUCAUAGACACUAUAAACUACAACUCUUCUUAUACUUCAAAAAAACCCAUGCUAGAUAAGUUAAUGCGGAAAAUUUUGUGCAAACCGGCUACUAAGGACUGGAAUAUUGCAUAUGCAUCUUUACAAUUAGAACUAAAAACCAAACCUUCCACUGUAUCAUGUAAGUUCCCUUAGUUUCUUAAUUUUUUCGUAGCACUAAUGUAUAUAAUUUACAAUUGGUUUGUUCUUGCCAGGGAGUAUCUUCCUAUGGGAGGAAGUGUGAACAUGGUUGAAGAAACAUUGAAGCUGGCCUAUGGGGAGAAUUCUGAGCUCAUUAAAGAUAAAAGGAUAGCAGCAGUGCAAGCUCUCUCGGGGACAGGUGCAUGCCGUCUUUUUGCAGAUUUUCAAAAGCGUUUUUGUCCAGAUUCUCAAAUCUAUAUACCAGUGCCUACAUGGGCCAAGUGAGCAUUGCUUAGAACUUUUGAUUCUUAAGAAUCUCUCUCUCUCUCUCUCUCUCUCUCUCUCUCUCUCUCUCUCUCUCUCUCUCUCCACAUUUAAACGGCCAAUGUGAACAAUUUCUGAUGCAAAUGGUCUUCCAAAAUAAAAUUUCAACAGCCAUCAUAACAUCUGGAGAGAUGCUCAUGUCCCUCAAAAGACUUUCCAUUACUAUCACCCACAGUCUAAGGGGUUGGACUUUGCAGGACUGGUUGACGACAUAAAGGUAUAGGACUCAUUCUUACUUUCAAUUUGAUUGUUUUAAUUAUUUCAGCUACGUUCUUGUUUUAAAACAAUUAAUCUACCACAUUAAGCUUUCCUUGUAGAUAUAAUUUGUUUUUACUCUUUGCCCUCUACAUUCUCUUCACUGACGCCCUGUUCCUUCCCCUGCAAACUGGGCAUCAAUGUUUUGUAUAGAAUGCUCCAAAUGGCUCGUUCUUUCUACUUCAUGCGUGUGCUCACAAUCCUACUGGAGUGGAUCCCUCAGAGGAACAAUGGAAAGAGAUCUCAAAAAAGAUUAAGGUAAAUUUCGCAGAAUAUUUUCCUUAUGUUUUUUCUUCUUUUACCCCUAAUACCUUUCUUUACUCUUGGGUUGAUUUGGAUUUUGUGAUUGGUUCAGGAAAAGGGCCAUUUUCCUUUCUUUGACAUGGCAUAUCAAGGUUUUGCUAGUGGUGACCCGGAGAGAGAUGCGAAAGCCAUCAGGAUUUUUCUUGAGGAUGGCCAUCUACUUGGAAUUGCCCAAUCAUAUGCCAAAAAUAUGGGACUUUAUGGCCAGAGAGUAGGAUGUCUUAGGUAAUUGUGUGUUGUUAAAUACGGUUUCAAUUUAAUUUGGCACUUUUAAUACUUCUGUUUAGUAUUUCAGUCUUAAUGAAAGUAGCAACUGCAUGCUUCUUCUUGUUCUGUCUGUCAUCUCUAUAACCCUGGCUAAACAUUAACUACAUGUUCAAUUGGCAAUUCUGUAAAAAAUGACAUAAACGUAGGACAUUAUAGUAGUGUAUACAACCUGUACAUUUGAUGCGUAAAUGAUUAUACGCAUUUUAUGUUAUCACCAAUUGAAAUAUGAAACUAUAUGAUUUAUUCUCAUGUAUCACUUUGCUCAAUGCCAAACUGGUUUUAUCAAGAUCGCUGUACUGCAUGCUUUAUAAGUGUUUGAAUACUCUUGUCUGGGCUUCAGCCUUCACCUGUUCAUGCCUUUAACAUUGUUAUCUACAUAUGAAGGGGACAUAUGUUAUAUAUGAUAGGUGAGCAUUCUGCAUCUCUCAGGUACUGUAAGCUGCACUCAUGGUGAAUAUGACUUUUUAUUUUUCCUCCUUUAAAUGGUUGCGCCUAGUCUCAUCUCAUACCUUACUCCCUACUGGUCUUUAGGAAAAUUUUGUAACAUAGGGCUUAUAUGUCAACUCCACUUAUAAAGUAGACUAAGAAAGCGGAGGGUCUUUUGGUACAUCUUUUAUGCUGAUGUUGCUCUCUAUGUUUGCAGCGUGCUUUGUGAGGAUGAAAAACAGGCAGUGGCUGUAAAAAGCCAGUUGCAGAUGCUUGCCAGACCCAUGUAUAGUAAUCCACCUGUUCAUGGAGCGCUUAUAGUUUCAACGAUCCUUGGUGAUCCAGGCUUGAAGAAGUUAUGGCUCAAGGAAGUUAAGGUAAUUCAUCAUUCCUUUGCUUCUUUCUUUAGUUAAUCUUUUAAAUCUCAUUUUGAGCUGGAUAGAUAUCCUUUCUCUUUACCAUAAAUACAAAGGCCUGACUUUUGUUUAAUAUUAAUUAUUUUUGGAAGGAGUUGUAUCUUUGUUUCGUGAUCAUCUGAUGUUUAUGUCCUUCGUCAUUCUUCUCUCCAGGGCAUGGCAGAUCGCAUCAUUGGAAUGCGAACUGCUCUACGAGAGAACCUUGAGAAACUUGGGUCCCCCUUAUCAUGGGAGCACAUAACUAAUCAGGUUUGUUAGAUUCUUUCUAGUCCAUCAUCUAUGAGGCACAGACAGGAGGCUUGGACACAUGUCCACAUAAUAAAUGGUUCCUCGAGGAAAAAUUAUAUUCCUCAAAAUAAGAUUUUCUUUCUUAAUGGAGAAAAGGACUUGGAAGUGUGCGAAAUUGCCACUAUUUGAACCUAAAUGAUUUCGUAAUAGCAAUGUUCAACUUCCAUAUUAUAAAAAUAUUGUUUACUGUUAUGUCCAAGCCCUAAAUUCUUGGUAUUUUCUUUGUUUGAUAAUGAUCGAGAAGGUUAAACAAAACAAUACAAACAAUUUAGGGCCCUGGACAUAACAGUCUUUUGGGGUAUUUCAUGUGUCAAUGUUCAUGUGUUUUUUACCUAGGGAUCCUUGUCUGUGCUACGUAGUCUGUUAAUUUGUAUUGCUUGGCCGCGUUUGAUCUCCACCUUGUUUUCUAGUCUAUGUUAUUUAAAAAUCUUGUUGAUUCUUGCAAACAGAUUGGUAUGUUUUGCUAUAGUGGAAUGACACCUGAACAGGUUGAUCGCUUGACAAAUGAAUUUCAUAUCUAUAUGACUCGCAAUGGUCGAAUAAGGUUCUCUCUCUCUCUCUCUCUCUCUCUCACACACACACACACACAAACAAUCAUAUGCGUGCUGCAGUCUCUAGUUCGAUAUGUCUCACGUAUGGUAUUUAUAUGCACAGUAUGGCGGGUGUUACAACCGGUAAUGUUGGAUAUUUGGCAAAUGCUAUACAUGAAGUCACAAAAUCAGCAUAGAGAUCCAGUCAUAGGUCACUUACUCCUCGACAGGAUAUACGAACUUUAGCAGAUACUGAUUUUCUUAUCUUCUUCAUCUCCUUAUGAUAGAGAUAAGGAAGGAGCAAUAAACUACAACCACCAUUGAUGCGCUCUUCUCAGUUCCUUCCUCCAUUUUUUUAUUGUACCGGAGGGGAGUUUUUAUCUGGGUUACAUAUUAAGUCCUCUAAUUCAAGAAGCACAAAAUAAAGAGCGACAUUUUAUCGAUAUCAUUUGUAGUCUGAUUCCUGGAUUUUGCCUUCACCAAUAAAUUAGGUCUGAAGCAUUUUGUUGCAUCAAAAUAUCAUAAGGAAUAAAGAUUUAUAAGCUAUUUGCGUGCUUUUGUCAGCAAAUUGACAAAUUAAUAUAUGAAUGGUGGCUAAUCAUUUCUCCAAUACAAGUUAAUUAAUUUCCACCAAGCAGCUGUGUUACUACCAAUUGCACAGAUACCACCUCCAAACACUAGGCAAGAAUAUUGUAUUGCAUGAUGCUCAAGCUCAAGCUCUAGCUCUGCGCUGUCAAACAUACUUCGAGGCAGGACCACAACGAACACUAGAUUUGAAUGCAUUAUGCACUUGGUUUCCCUUAAUCCUUGCAAUCAAAACGAUGCACAGAUGCAGGAAGACGGUAAUUUUCCGCUAAACUGGUAUAGUAGACAGGAUCAACCAUUUCCAGGUUAAGCCAGAGAGCAGCAGAUUAGGCUAAAAUGCUGAGUGUGUUAUAUAAGACCACAAAGAGGCCCUCGUGUGCUUCACAUCCAUCCACUAGUACAAGAAAUAAUUCCUUGUUUCAUGACUUUACAUUCAAGUACGAACUGGGUGUGGGAAUCCAAGACCAGUCUGCUGCCGCAUAUGCUCCUGUAUGAGCCUCUUGAUCAGUUCCGGUGAAGCUCCAUUUAACGGCAAAUCAAUUUUGGAGGCAGAGUUGGGGGAAUAAGUAAAUUGAAACUUUUAGUAGAAUAUGUGAUUGCCAAGAAAAAACAACUGAAAAUUUUCAUCUUAGAUGCCCCUACUGUACUCUUUCCAGGUUAUGCAACCAUACCAAACCUAGGUAAAUUUGAAGAAAUUUCAUAUAACUCGAGAUUUAUUUAACAAUACACGUACGUAAAAGGGCAUGUCCUCUAUCACGUUAUUACCCGCAAGCACUUAAGUUUAAGUGGCAAAAAGCUCAGCAUAUCUGAAUCAGUAGAGUUCUGUGUUGGUCAGCUUUAAGGCGCUAAGAUUGAUCACAGGCACCUCUAUAGUCCAUAAAAGAAGCAAGGAAAAAUGCAUAUAGGGGCAUGAACAAGCAACAAAUAUAGAUACUUAACACGUGACGUACUUUGAUGUUUUGUCAUGUGAAUGAUUAACAGAUAAAAAAAAAAAAAUUAAAUCUGAAACUCACUUCUUGUUUGAAGUAGAAAACUGGUGACAACAGGCGCCUAUUUGGAAGGAGAACAUUGGGCUCACGAAGUUGAUCAAUGAAAGAAUGUGUGCAUGCUUCUAGCUGUAAUGGGGCGAUCAGUGAGAAUUUGGAUAUUAUGCAUGUCAUGAAGUGGAAGUAUCAAACUCAAGCAGCUCAGCACCAAAAUGAAACUUGCCAAAUAGAGCCAACUCAUCUAAAAUCUUUAUGACAAGGCAUAAUUGCUUGGGUUUUAUCUCGAAACAACAGAAGAGCUCCGUGGGAAGAAAAGUCCAACUCACUGCGGUGCAGAGUUGGAGCAUUGUCUGCUUCAGGUGGCAAACCUGAAUUAAGGAGCAUUAUUGCAGAUAAACUAUAGGAAUACUGGCAAAAACAAAAUAAUCCCACAGAUACCACUAAGUGUUUUAAUAGUUAAUAAUUUUAUAGUUACAGGUAUGGACAUGGACAAGAACAGUACGUGUUCAGGACAUAAAAGGAAAAGGAAAAAACCACCCAAAUUUGUACACAUAAGGUUUCCUUGCACACAGAACAAAGACACAUAUGUAAGUAUGCGCGUGUACAUGUGCCCAUGUGCGAAUAUAAAGUCUGCCCUCUAUAACUAUAAGCAGCCCUGAGAACCAACUUAUUUGAAGGGUUAUAAUCAAAAUGCAUACCUUAUGCCAAGGACGAGCUUUAAUAUGAAGGAACCUAAAAUCUGUACGAUUUGGAAUCCAUGCAUCAAAUUUAUAGUCUAGUUGCAGUGCAAAGAACCUGCAAGAAGACACCUAAACUGUAUGCUUACACAAUUACAUGAUCCACUUAGUUCAGCAGCGAUAGUGAGGCUUGACCUUGAUAAUCUCUACAAGUUGGUCCACUGCAUCCUCUCCUGGAAACAAUGGCUGUAGAAGACUUUGAAUUGUUUUGAUCAGUUAAGAAGUAAAUAUUGUUUAACCCAAGCUAACUUAGGCCAACAAGAAGCCAAGCAGUCCAUAACCUGUCCCAGAAGAAGCUCAGCAAGGACACAACCAGCUGCCCAGAUAUUAAUGGGUGUUGAAUAUUCUUUGCACCAAAGAUUAGUUCAGGAGCCUGAUAGCGACGAGAACAUAUGUUUGAAAUUUUUGCUUCUCUCUCGAACCUGAUUAGCAAGAAAAUCACUGAAAUGAAAUCAUACAAGGAAACUGAUUUUCUUAGGAAAAUAGCAACUGUAUUAGCAUGAAGCCUUUAAAAAGAAAGGUGGUUGACGUAUAGACAGACAUUAACUCAAACAAGUACUAAUAUCUUGAGUUGAAGCCAUGCAUUAAUUUUCACCAAAUGGACAGGUGAUUGACUAUCGGUUUAUCAACAAGAAAAAAUUAUCCAUCAUAAAAGCAACUGGUCAUUCUGCCUCUAAGUUCUAAAACGUAGUGUCGUGACAUGAUUGAAUGCAAGUGUAAAAUGUCAUGAAGACAAACACACCAGAACUUUUUCACUUCCGAAAUCACAAAGCUUCACCUGGUGGUUAGGGGGAUCAACCCGCCAAGUAUUUAUAAAACCUCCUCCCAUCAAGCUCGGGCCAGAUUACCAGUAAUUGCCACAAGAGCAUUCACCAUUCCUAAAAUGAUGAAACCUCUUUGCAUCCCUCACAAUUAUGUCUCUUCCAACCACUCUUGACAUAAACUUAAUUGCAGUAUGGCAAUCCCCACAAAUCCUAAGAUUCUUAAAAACUCUGAUUGUGGCUCCAAGAGGAAGCUUCAUGAGCCCAAAUGCAACUGCAAGCUUCUCACUGUGAGUGGACAAGGAAUACUCCUUAUGCUCAGACUCCAUAUCAUGCAACACAAACUUUGUGUCAGGGAGAUAUCCUAACUUCCUCAUUUCAAGUCCUAGUUGCUCAAGAUAUUUGUACACGGCUUGGACCUCAGGGUGCACAGUAUCACCAACUAAGAAGACGUGGACCAUGUUUUCAACGUCAAUCCAACUACAACCAGGCUCUUUCUUAACCCCUCGAUCUCUCAUUAGUUGCCGCACCUUAGCCACAUCAUCCCAACGGCCUAUAGCGGCAUACAGGUUUGACAAAAGUAUGUAAGUUCCAUCGUGUUGUGGCACCAACUCAAAGAGUCGUUCUGCUGCUUGAAUUCCUAAAUCCAUAUUCCCAUGAGUCCGACAACCAGCAAGAAGAGCCUCCCAAAUCGGUGCACCUGGCUCAAAAGGCAUUGAUUCAAUCAAGCCCUUGGCUUCUGUGAACUCCCCACAUCGACACAACAGAUCAAUCAUGCGAGCAUAAUGGCCUUCAUCAGGGCUAAUACCAUAAGAGACACGCAUUGAACUAAAAUAAUGGCGCCCUUCCUUGACUAAACCAGCAUGACUACAAGCUGAUAGAAUGAUGAGGAAAGUUAUUCUAUCUGGUAGUAUAUCUGCCUUCAACAUUUUUUCAAAAAGGUCUAUUGCUUGAACACCAUGUCCAUGUUGGGCCAGAGCUGCAAUCAUAGCAUUCCAAGACACUGAAUCAAUAUAAGGCAUGGUAAGAAACACAGAGUUCGCAUCCUCGAAAACUCCGCAUCUUGCAUACAUUGUGAUAAGUGCAUUUGCAGCUGAAAGGCUUGAAUCAAACCCCAAGCUAAUUAGUUGAGCAUGGAGCUGGCGUCCAUGCUCCAAUGCUCCAAGCGCAGCACAAGAUGUAAUUGCUCCAGAAAAUGCAUAAUCACACGGUUCAAAACCUUCUGAUCGCAUUUGGUUGAAUAGCUUCAUCGCUUCUUCUCCUAAUCCAUUUUGAGCUAAACCAGAUAUCAUCACAGUCCAUGUCAGAAUGCUCCUCUCUGGCAUUUCCUUAAAAAAGGAUUUUGCUUCCUGGAUGCGCCCUGCACUAACAUACCCUGAAAGGAUUGCAUUCCAAGAAACAAGAUCUUUAACAGGCAUAUUAUUAAAAAUAUACCGUGCUUCAUCAAGUUUACCACAUUUGUAAUAUAGUGUAAGCAAUGUAUUGUUCACAGAUAAUGAAAAAUCCACAGUAGGCUUCGCUUCAGUUCUAAGUAUGUAAGCAUGCACCUGCUUCCCAAGCUGAAAUAGUCCAUUAUUAGCGCAAGUACUAAUAACACUAGUGUAAGUAAAUUCAUCCUGAUGAAUCCCCAGUAACCGCAUUUUCCUAAACAAUAGCAAUGCUUCUUGAAAAGAAUUGUGGUGAGCAUAACCCGAAAUCAUCGCAUUCCAUACAACUUCCAUCCUUUCAUCCAUUCCAUCUAGCAAUUCCCGAGCUGCAUGAAGGUCUUCAUUCCUUAUGUACCCAGUAAUCAUCGUUGUCCAUGAUAGUUCAUCUCUCUCAGGCAUCUCAUUAAACAAAUUCCUAGCUUCACCCAUCAAUGAUGAUGAUGAUACUAAUGGUGAAGAAGCACAUCUAACAUAAACAGAUAACAGCGCAUUCCAUACCGAAGUGGCAAACCCUGUUCCUGACUUAACUACUGCACAAUGUAGUUGCUGGCACUGCUUUUCAACAUCCACUAUCUGUGCCGCACCACUUAGUACAGUCGUAUAUGUGAAAUCGUCAGGCCUAAAACCACCUUGCCUCAUCUCACAAAAUAGUCUAAUAGAGGCAUAGCCAUCAUUGUUACGAGAAUAGCCUGUGAUCAUCGCAUUGUAACAAACAGUGUCUCGCAUGCUCAAUGGAGUUUCAUUGAAUAUCUUCCGAGCCAGCGUUAGAUUCCCAAUGGCAGAGUACGCCGUAAUCAAGGUGGUUCUAGCAACAAUGUCUGGUUUUGGAAUUUGAUCGAACAGUUGGUGGGCAUAACUAAAAUUUGAAGAUUUACAGUAGACAUCAAUCAAGCGGUUAAGAAUAUGGCCACGUGGCUUGAACCCAGAAGCUAUCAUGUGGGCAUGGGUCGUUCGAGCUAUAGAGUAUGAGACGGGGCUUUGAGGGCAGCAUAGCUGCAGUUGGGCUGCGUAACGGUGAGCCACUGUAAAGAAGAUGAAGAGAUUGAAAGCGAGGCAGAGGGCAAAAGAUGGGAAAGCGGGCAAAAUUGAAAUGGGAUUCUCCUUUUUUUUUUUUUUGGGCACACAAACAGAAAGGAUUCUCGGACGUAGGAAGGAAUUCCUAUAUAUUUACCUUUAUUUGCCCCCAAAAACAUUUUUUUAUGUCUUAUUUCUUUUUUGUCGUAAGUUGGUCCUUAAGAUUUUGAAGGCAUGCUGGAUGGGGACAAAUAGUGUGAUGUUGCGAAAGUGAUUAAGAGCAUUCACCUAUGCACUCAAGAUAUUAUGUUCGAUUUUCCCACCCCAAUAUCACUUGUAUGAAAAACAAAAGUAAAAAAGGAGUAGUUUAGAGAAAAAAUAAGAGCUCAAAAAUAAUUCAAGAGGUUGUUGUAGUCCAUCUCCUUUCAUCCAAAUGCACUUGAAAAGUAGUCAAAGUGUUGGGGUGGACAACUUCAAAACCAUUAAGACAUUUAAUUUUGAUUAACAAACUAAAUAAACUGGGCAUUUCAACAAAAUAGACAAUUAUUUAAUUGAAUAGUUAUAUAAUUUUUGAAUUCAAGGGAUUCUUUGUAGAGAUGAUAUUUGAGAGAAUACUAAAAAAUAAAUGAUUUAGAUCAUUAUAAUACAAUAUCUUAUGAAACAUAUAAUCUUAAUCUGAGUGGUGGUAAGUCAUUGUCAGCAAUGCAAGUCUCAAUGAGGUCACCAUGGUCAAUGUGGUUAAACCAUCUCCCAAAUCCGACCUUCACUUAAUGACCCUGGUUUAAUAUAUAAUCAAAUCAAUGAGAUUCGAAGUAGGCUCAGAUACGUACAACUAAGACAUUGCUACAUUAAUGGGAUGCAAAAUUUGAAGGGCUUUGAUGAUGGCAUUACUAUUAAAAUUUACACCAAGCAGUAAUUUUCCGUUACUGCCAACCCCAUAGAUACCAACUUCAAACACACUGAGCAAGAAUGUUCUAUUAAAUUAUGAAGCUCAAACCUCUGCCCCAUUAAACAGCAGAGAUUUGAAAUUAUCCAGAAGAAGGCAGUAUUGAAGAAAUUAAAAAAAUACAGAAAUCAACAAUAGCAAAAUAUA
This 21506-nucleotide long non-coding RNA is filed under the name Prunus persica (peach). Its description in RNAcentral is "long non-coding RNA (PPER_LNC003207)". Lineage: Eukaryota; Viridiplantae; Streptophyta; Magnoliopsida; Rosales; Rosaceae. The record is from RNAcentral.